GUCAUUGUAGCUCAAUGGGAAGAGCAACCCUCCUUCAAAUGCUUAUGAAACGGGCAGGUUGCAGGUUCAAAUCCUGUCAAUGACA
Gorgonomyces haynaldii is the source of this 85-nucleotide non-coding RNA. Lineage: Eukaryota; Fungi; Chytridiomycota; Chytridiomycetes; Rhizophydiales; Gorgonomycetaceae. The record is from the annotation of a GenBank genome assembly.